This 1251-nucleotide ribosomal RNA is filed under the name Triticum aestivum (bread wheat). RNAcentral describes it as "partial small subunit ribosomal RNA". Lineage: Eukaryota; Viridiplantae; Streptophyta; Magnoliopsida; Poales; Poaceae. The record is from RNAcentral.
AUGCGUGAGCCUGCCCGGAGCCUCCAGCCGCUCCAAGCGCCCGUGCUGCUCCCCACCUCGGCUUCCUCUGCCGAUUGCCCUGGCCGCGCAUUGCUGAAUUGGACCGGCCGGAUCGCGUUCAGCUCUGCAACACUCGACAGUGGCGAUGUUCUUGUCUUUGCAAAGGGCGUCAACCAUGUUGCUGGCGGUGUCCAAUGCCUGUAUCGCUACUGCGGCGAGACCCAUGCCGUGGUGGCCUCCUUCCCGGCCAUCACGUCCGUACAGCAGGUUACCCGGUGCCCCGCUCCACCGAUCCAUCUGAACUCUAGGAACACAGAGUUCCGUGUCACCGUGGCAGCCACGGGCGAGGAUCCAAUCCCGACACUCGUGACUUAUCGUCCCCGGCAGAGUGAAAGUGGCUCGCUGGUGGCACCGGAAAAGAACCUGAUUUGUGCAUGCACCAUGAUCCACAACGUCUCAAAGUUUCUUCGCGAAUGGGUGCUGUAUCAUGCCGCUAUCGGGGUGGACCACUUCAUCCUGUAUGACAAUGGAAGUAAGGAUGACUUGGCAGAUCAAGUCGCUCAGUUGAGGUCCGCUGGAAUCAAAAUCUCUACCGUGCCUUGGCCAUGGAUCAAAAUGCAGGAAGCCGGCUUCUCCCAUUGUGCUGCAACGCACCAGAGCUCUUGCAGGUGGAUGGCCUUUAUUGACGUCGACGAGUUCGUUUUUUCGCCCAACUGGGAACGAUCUGAGAAACCGUCAAAAUCGAUGCUUGAAGAGAUUGUUCAGGUUGAUCCAGAUGUCGGGCAGGUAUAUCUGUGGUGCUUUGAUUUUGGCCCCUCUGGCCAAACAUCACACCCACAGGAGGGUGUCAUCCAAGGAUACACAUGCCGUCUGAAGAGGUUUCUACGGCACAAAUCGCUGGUUCUGCUUGCUGCAGUGGACCAUUCUUUGGAGAAUGCAAUUCACCACUUCACACUGAAGGCUGGUUUCAAAAGUAUACGGAGCAUGCAGGCACGUGUGAACCAUUAUAAGUACCAGGCGUGGACCGAGUUCAAGCAUAAGUUCAAACGACGAGUGUCCGCCUACGUGGCUGACUGGAGAGAUCCAAUCAACCUUGAGUCCGCUGACCGGGCCCCCGGCUUAGGUGUUGAUGGAGUCGAACCGGUUGAUUGGGCUCAAAGGUAUUGCGACAUCAAGGAUAACCUGCUUCAGAAAUUGAGCUCAAGAUGGUUCGGUAACGGAUUGGGAAGUCCGGGAUCUCAGGAUACUUAG